GGCUACCGCUAUUGGAGUUCGAUUAAGCCAUGCGAGUCGAGAGUCUUAGGGACUCGGCGUACCGCUCAGUAACACGUGGGUAACCUGCCCUAUGCUGGGGAAUAACCUCGGGAAACUGAGAAUAAUACCCCAUAGUUCACCACGCCUGGAACGGUGGGUGGACCAAAGCUCCGGCGGCAUAGGAUGGGCCUGCGGCGUAUCAGGUUGUAGGGGGUGUAAUGUACCCUCUAGCCCUCUACGCGUACGGGUGUUGAGAGACAUCGCCCGGAGAUGGAUUCUGAGACACGAAUCCAGACCCUACGGGGUGCAGCAGGCGCGAAAACUUGGCAAUGCGAGAAAUCGUGACCAGGGAACUCCAAGUGCAUCGGGUAAGACCGAUGCUUUUCUUGACUCUUCAAAGGUCUUGGAAUAAGGGGUGGGUAAGGACGGUGCCAGCCGCCGCGGUAAUACCGGCGCCCCAAGUGGUAGUCGCUUUUAUUGGGCCUAAAACGUCCGUAGCCGGUCUGGUACAUUCGUGGGUAAAUCAACCAGCUCAACUGGUUGAAUUCUGCGAGCACGGCCAGACUUGGGACCGGGAGAGGUGUGGGGUACUCUCAGGGUAGGGGUAAAAUCCUGUCAUCCUGAGAGGACCACCUGUUGCGAAGGCGCCACACUAGAACGGAUCCGACGGUCAGGGACGAAGCCUAGGGGCACGAACCGGAUUAGAUACCCGGGUAGUCCUAGGUGUAAACGCUGUGGACUUGAUGUUGGGGGCGCUCCGAGCGCACUCAGUGUCGAAGCGAAGGUGAUAAGUCCACUGCCUGGGGAGUACGGUCGCAAGGCUGAAACUUAAAGGAAUGCUCUGAGGGGCACCGCAACCUGAGGAUUGUGCGGUUU
RNAcentral lists this ribosomal RNA (876 nucleotides) under uncultured archaeon. RNAcentral describes it as "bacterial SSU rRNA". It matches the Rfam family "Archaeal small subunit ribosomal RNA", at positions 22 to 903 of the family's 1478-position model. The record is from RNAcentral.